AUGGCUAUUAUUUCUCAUCCAAGAAUAUCAUCUUACAAUAAAGAGCGUGGUUUAGUAUUGAUAUGCAAGGCUUUCUACAACAUCAUACACAUAAUGGAUAUGGUUUUAUUUUAUAAUGGAAGGAAUAGUCCCGAGUUGCUGCAGGCAUACGACCUAGCACUUGGGGGCUACAUUAUUCAAAUCAUGAUUAUAUCAAGUAUGCAAGUCCCAUGUCGCUGCAAGCAUGCACCAUGGCACUUGGGGGCUAAUGCAAGUCGCUUUUCAAGUCAUCACAUUAUUCAAAUCAUCGGGUUAUCUUCGGAAGAUGAGCCAACCUUCUAUCUUUUUCUAAGUCCCAACUCAUUAUUGUCUUACUGA
RNAcentral lists this ribosomal RNA (357 nucleotides) under Triticum aestivum (bread wheat). Its description in RNAcentral is "partial small subunit ribosomal RNA". The record is from RNAcentral. Lineage: Eukaryota; Viridiplantae; Streptophyta; Magnoliopsida; Poales; Poaceae.